Molecule: ribosomal RNA, 1403 nt
Filed under: Hypospila bolinoides
Lineage: Eukaryota; Metazoa; Arthropoda; Insecta; Lepidoptera; Erebidae
Description: 16S ribosomal RNA
Source: RNAcentral
AUGUAAAAAUUAAUAAAAUUAAAAAUAAUAAAAAAAUUUUUAAAAAUUAAAAAUUAAAUUAUUUUAAUGGGGGUUAAAGUAUUUUAAUAGAAAAAAUUUUUAAAUUUAUAGUGAAUUAGUAUUGUGAAAGAAUUUUGAAAUAAUUGAAAAAAAAAUUAUUAAAAAGUAAUUUUAAUUUAGUGUAUCUUGUGUAUCAGAGUUUAUUAAAAAAUAUUUUUUGAAGAAAAAAUUCUCGAAUUUAAGAGAGAUAAUUAAUUAAUAAAGUUAUUGUUGAAUAAAUAUUUUAAAUAAUUAAUUGGAAAUGAAAUGUUAAUCGUUCUUAAAUAUAUCUAGUUUUUUUAGAAAAAAAUUUAAUUUUAAAUUUAUAAAAUUUUAUUUAAUUAUUAAUUAUUAAAUUUUAAAAUUUAUAAAUUUUAUAAUUUAAGGGAUAAGCUUUAAAUUAAAUAAAUAUAAUUAUUUAUUAAAAAUUUUUGAAAAUUUUAUAAUUUAUAUUGUUAAUAAAUUUUAAUUUAUUAUAAAUAAUUUCAUUUUUAAUAAAAUUUAAUAUAAAAUUUAUUUUUUUUUUAUAAAAAAAUAUUUUAAAAUAUAAUAAAAAUAAAUAUAAUGAUAAAAUUAGUAUAGUAUAUUUAAAUUUCAAAUUUUAUAAAAAAAAAAAUUGAAAGUAUAAAGUAGAAUUAAUUUAAAGUAAUUCGGCAAACAUUUAUAUUCACUUGUUUAUCAAAAACAUGUCUUUUUGAAAAUAAUAUAAAGUCUAAUCUGCCCACUGAUUUUUAUUAAAGGGCUGCAGUAUUUUGACUGUACAAAGGUAGCAUAAUCAUUAGUCAUUUAAUUGAUGACUUGUAUGAAAGAUUGGAUGAAAUAUAGACUGUCUCUAAAUUAAAUUAUAGAAUUUAAUUUUUUAAUUAAAAAGUUAAAAUAAAUUAAAAAGACGAGAAGACCCUAUAGAGUUUUAUAAUUUUAUAAAUUAAAAUUAUUUUUAAAUAAGAAAAAUUUUAAUUUAUGAAAUUAUUUUAUUGGGGUGAUAGAAAAAUAUAAAUAACUUUUUUUAAAAUAAUAACAUAUAUAAGUGAUUAAAUGAUCCAAUUAUAUUGAUUAUAAGAAAAAAUUACCUUAGGGAUAACAGCGUAAUUUUUUUUUUUAGUUCAAAUAAGAAAAAGAGUUUGCGACCUCGAUGUUGGAUUAAGAUAAAAUUUAAAUGCAGAAGUUUAAAAUUUUUGAUCUGUUCGAUCAUUAAAAUCUUACAUGAUCUGAGUUCAAACCGGUGUGAGCCAGGUUGGUUUCUAUCUUUUAAAAUAUUAAAUAUUUUAGUACGAAAGGAUUAAAUAUUUAAAUUAAAUUUAAUUAAAUAGAAUUUUAUUAAUAAUAAAUUAAAAUAAUAAAAAAAAAAGUUUUUAUAAAAACUA